This 429-nucleotide ribosomal RNA is filed under the name Gemmatimonadota bacterium. Its description in RNAcentral is "Gemmatimonadetes bacterium partial 16S ribosomal RNA". It matches the Rfam family "Bacterial small subunit ribosomal RNA", at positions 355 to 776 of the family's 1533-position model. The record is from RNAcentral. Lineage: Bacteria; Pseudomonadati; Gemmatimonadota.
UAGGGAAUCUUCGGCAAUGGACGAAAGUCUGACCGAGCAACGCCGCGUGAGUGAAGAAGGUUCUCGGAUCGUAAAACUCUGUUGUUAGAGAAGAACAAUGACGUUAGUAACUGAACGUCCCCUGACGGUAUCUAACCAGAAAGCCACGGCUAACUACGUGCCAGCAGCCGCGGUAAUACGUAGGUGGCAAGCGUUGUCCGGAUUUAUUGGGCGUAAAGCGAGCGCAGGCGGUUUCUUAAGUCUGAUGUGAAAGCCCCCGGCUCAACCGGGGAGGGUCAUUGGAAACUGGGAGACUUGAGUGCAGAAGAGGAGGGUGGAAUUCCAUGUGUAGCGGUGAAAUGCGUAGAUAUAUGAAGGAACACCAGUGGCGAAGGCGGCUCUCUGGUCUAUAACUGACGCUGAGGAUCGAAAGCGUGGGGAGCAAACAGA